GGGCCUGUGGCUUAGUUCGGUAUAGCACCGCCCUUGCAAGGCGGGGGCCCCGGGUUCAAAUCCCGGCGGGUCCA
Molecule: transfer RNA, 74 nt
Filed under: Nanoarchaeales archaeon
Lineage: Archaea; Nanobdellati; Nanobdellota; Candidatus Nanoarchaeia; Nanoarchaeales
Description: tRNA-Ala
Rfam family: tRNA
About the family: Transfer RNA (tRNA) molecules are approximately 80 nucleotides in length.
Source: RNAcentral